Coregonus clupeaformis (lake whitefish) is the source of this 152-nucleotide long non-coding RNA. RefSeq lists it as uncharacterized. The record is from RefSeq and is a predicted model, not a curated record. The transcript is spliced from 3 exons. NCBI's taxonomy places the organism in Eukaryota, Metazoa, Chordata, Actinopteri, Salmoniformes, Salmonidae.
AGCAGACCCAGGAUGAGGAGAAGAAACAUCUGACUGCUCUCAGAGACCUGAUCAAGUCCUCCCUUCAGCUGGACCAGAAGGAGUCUAGAAGAGACUCCCAGAGUAAGCAGGGUGGCUACAGCAUGCACCAGCUGCAGGGCAACAAGGAGUUU